AGCGAACGCUGGCGGCAGGCUUAACACAUGCAAGUCGAGCGGGCGUAGCAAUACGUCAGCGGCAGACGGGUGAGUAACGCGUGGGAACAUACCUCUUGGUUCGGAACAACACAGGGAAACUUGUGCUAAUACCGGAUAAGCCCUUACGGGGAAAGAUUUAUCGCCGAGAGAUUGGCCCGCGUCUGAUUAGCUAGUUGGUGAGGUAACGGCUCACCAAGGCGACGAUCAGUAGCGGUCUGAGAGGAUGAUCAGCCACAUUGGGACUGAGACACGGCCCAAACUCCUACGGGAGGCAGCAGUGGGGAAUAUUGGACAAUGGGCGCAAGCCUGAUCCAGCCAUGCCGCGUGAGUGAUGAAGGCCCUAGGGUUGUAAAGCUCUUUUGUGCGGGAAGAUAAUGACGGUACCGCAAGAAUAAGCCCCGGCUAACUUCGUGCCAGCAGCAGCCGCGGUAAC
RNAcentral lists this ribosomal RNA (454 nucleotides) under uncultured bacterium. Its description in RNAcentral is "bacterial SSU rRNA". It matches the Rfam family "Bacterial small subunit ribosomal RNA", at positions 29 to 524 of the family's 1533-position model. The record is from RNAcentral.